GAGGGUAUGGCUUAGUUGUAGAGCACAUGCUUAGCAUGCACAAGGUCCUGGGUUCAAUCCCCAGCACCUCCA
This 72-nucleotide transfer RNA is filed under the name Camelus bactrianus (Bactrian camel). It matches the Rfam family "tRNA". From Rfam's summary of the family: Transfer RNA (tRNA) molecules are approximately 80 nucleotides in length. Their secondary structure includes four short double-helical elements and three loops (D, anti-codon, and T loops). Further hydrogen bonds mediate the characteristic L-shaped molecular structure. tRNAs have two regions of fundamental functional importance: the anti-codon, which is responsible for specific mRNA codon recognition, and the 3' end, to which the tRNAs corresponding amino acid is attached (by aminoacyl-tRNA synthetases). tRNAs cope with the degeneracy of the genetic code in two manners: having more than one tRNA (with a specific anti-codon) for a particular amino acid; and 'wobble' base-pairing, i.e. permitting non-standard base-pairing at the 3rd anti-codon position. RNAcentral also lists the same sequence under 2 other names. The record is from Rfam by way of RNAcentral. Lineage: Eukaryota; Metazoa; Chordata; Mammalia; Artiodactyla; Camelidae.